RNAcentral lists this ribosomal RNA (251 nucleotides) under uncultured prokaryote. RNAcentral's name for it is "partial 16S rRNA". It matches the Rfam family "Bacterial small subunit ribosomal RNA", at positions 525 to 775 of the family's 1533-position model. The record is from RNAcentral.
ACGGAGGGUGCAAGCGUUAUUCGGAAUUACUGGGCGUAAAGCGCGUGUAGGCGGUCCUGCAAGUCUGAUGUGAAAGCCCCGGGCUUAACCCGGGAAGUGCAUUGGAAACUGUGGGACUUGAGUACUGGAGAGGAUGGGGGAAUUCCCGGUGUAGAGGUGAAAUUCGUAGAAGUCGGGAGGAAUAUCAGUGGCGAAGGGGCCCAUCUGGACCGUAAUUUACGGUGGGACGCGGAAGCGUGGGGAGCAAACAG